RNAcentral lists this long non-coding RNA (1297 nucleotides) under Homo sapiens (human). Its description in RNAcentral is "HSALNT0268814". The record is from RNAcentral. Lineage: Eukaryota; Metazoa; Chordata; Mammalia; Primates; Hominidae.
GAAGGGCUUUGGUGAGGAUGCUUAGGGAGGAAGUGAUGAAUCAGAGCAGAUUGGGUUGGGAUGGCAGAAAGGAUCAGAAAGCUAAGCUAGACCCAUUCUUUGCAGCUGGGCCAGAGGGUAGGACGGUGAGUAAUGAUAGCACUUCGGGGGUCACCUCGGGGAUGAUAGUCUUGUCAAGUCUUAUACGUGACAGGGAGAAGCAAUGGCUAAUACAUCUAUAUAUCGAUAAUAUGAAUAAAUAAUUUUAGAAGUGUCUUCAUGCACAAACCAAUGAUGAAAGCAGGCCAUGAAUGGAGACACAUGAUCAGUUUCACUGUGUGUCCUAAAACACAUUAUUUUUAGGAGUUUCCUAAAAAUAAACCCCAAGGCUCAGUGACCAAACGUCAAUGAUGAUAACAACGAGCGUUUUCCUUCCUAGGGUGGAACAUCUUUUGAAGAGCUCAGACCCUGGACCCCUGAUCUUAAUGAGCUUUGCAGCCUUCACGAAGCCACAAGCAGCGAUUACCCUCCCCAUUGACUAGGGAAGAAAUCAAGGCAUAGAGAGGUUGAGAACCUGGAGGAAAUUAUCCAGCCCAGAUGGAAACUGCCAAGAAGCAAGAUCUACAUCUGGGUCUGUCUGACUGUGCUUGUCGACUCUGCUGUCUUUAAGAAAUUAACUUGCAGAUCAUUUGGAGAGUGAAGAAAGGGAGAUGACUCCUUUCUUAUUCUCUGUGUUUAACUCUUGUUCUGUUUCCUAGGGGUUUAUGCCUUCUGUUUUGGUUUUUCCCUUUAUUCCUCUACAUUUAUCAUCCUCCUUUGUUUUUCUUCUUCUUCAGCAUUUGCUCUCUUCUCUUCUCGCCUACCCAGUUGGCUUUUCUCUCUUUCCCUCCAUUUCUCUCUUUAGUUACCCACACCAGACUAGGGCCAAGUCAUUUGUUUACUUGAGCGUCUGAGCGAGAAAAGAAGUUUAAAAUCUCUCCACACAUUAAAACAAAGAAAAGAACAUUUUAUAUUCCCUUUCAUGGUCAAAAGAUGAUCCUUUCUUCCCCUUCACAGAAUCCAUUUAGGUGUUUAUAGAGCAGUUAUCUUAACAAUGACUGUCCUUUGCUUUUCUCUGUGUUCCAAUUAACAUUCUUAAUUGCCUCGUUCUAAACGUCUCACUUUUUGUGUGUUGCCUAGAGUUCUCUGACAAGUUUAUUUUUAAUUAUAAUUUAUAUUGCAAAGCCGGAUAGAUAUUUAUAACAGUCAACUUUCCAUUGUGCCGCGCUUUUAGCUCUUUAAGCUUUGUUAUAAUAAAGUUUGCAGCGAAUUUGAAGAA